GCUCCCUUCGUCUAGUGGCCUAGGACAUCGCCCUCUCACGGCGGUAACGCGGAUUCGAAUUCCGCAGGGAGCGCCA
This 76-nucleotide transfer RNA is filed under the name Gammaproteobacteria bacterium RIFCSPHIGHO2_12_FULL_40_19. RNAcentral describes it as "tRNA-Glu". It matches the Rfam family "tRNA". Rfam says of the family: Transfer RNA (tRNA) molecules are approximately 80 nucleotides in length. Their secondary structure includes four short double-helical elements and three loops (D, anti-codon, and T loops). Further hydrogen bonds mediate the characteristic L-shaped molecular structure. tRNAs have two regions of fundamental functional importance: the anti-codon, which is responsible for specific mRNA codon recognition, and the 3' end, to which the tRNAs corresponding amino acid is attached (by aminoacyl-tRNA synthetases). tRNAs cope with the degeneracy of the genetic code in two manners: having more than one tRNA (with a specific anti-codon) for a particular amino acid; and 'wobble' base-pairing, i.e. permitting non-standard base-pairing at the 3rd anti-codon position. The record is from RNAcentral. RNAcentral also lists the same sequence under 1 other name. Lineage: Bacteria; Pseudomonadati; Pseudomonadota; Gammaproteobacteria.